Molecule: ribosomal RNA, 587 nt
Filed under: uncultured bacterium
Lineage: Bacteria
Description: bacterial SSU rRNA
Rfam family: Bacterial small subunit ribosomal RNA
Source: RNAcentral
CCUACGGGAGGCAGCAGUGGGGAAUUUUGCGCAAUGGGGGAACCCUGACGCAGCAACGCCGCGUGAGUGAUGAAGGCCUUCGGGUUGUAAAGCUCUUUUAGUGGGGAAGAAGCCCUCCGGGACGAAUAAUCCCGGGGUCUGACGGUACCCACAGAAAAAGUUCUGGCUAACUACGUGCCAGCAGCCGCGGUAAUACGUAGGGAGCAAGCGUUGUUCGGAAUUAUUGGGCGUAAAGAGCGCGUAGGCGGUCUAGUAAGUCUGAUGUGAAAUCCCAGAGCUUAACUCUGGAACUGCAUUGGAAACUGCUAGGCUGGAGUGCGGGAGAGGUGAGUGGAAUUCCCAGUGUAGAGGUGAAAUUCGUAGAUAUUGGGAGGAACACCGGUGGCGAAGGCGGCUCACUGGACCGCAACUGACGCUGAGGCGCGAAAGCUCGGGGAGCAAACGGGAUUAGAUACCCCGGUAGUCCGAGCCGUAAACGAUGGGCACUAGGUGUAGGAGGUAUCGACCCCUCCUGUGCCGCAGCUAACGCAUUAAGUGCCCCGCCUGGGGAGUACGGUCGCAAGACUAAAACUCAAAGGAAUUGACGG